Molecule: transfer RNA, 74 nt
Filed under: Sandaracinus sp.
Lineage: Bacteria; Pseudomonadati; Myxococcota; Polyangiales; Sandaracinaceae
Also listed under: 1 other name
Description: tRNA-Ile
Rfam family: tRNA
About the family: Transfer RNA (tRNA) molecules are approximately 80 nucleotides in length. Their secondary structure includes four short double-helical elements and three loops (D, anti-codon, and T loops).
Source: RNAcentral
GGGCCCAUAGCUCAAUUGGUCAGAGUCGCCGGCUCAUAACCGGUUCGUUGCAGGUUCGAGUCCUGCUGGGCCUA